GAUGAACGCUAGCGGCAGGCCUAAUACAUGCAAGUCGGACGGGAUUCAGGAGCUUGCUUCUGAUGAGAGUGGCGCACGGGUGCGUAACACGUAUGUAACCUGCCUUUAUCAGGGGGAUAGCCUCUCGAAAGAGAGAUUAAGCCCGCAUAAAAUCACAGCACAGCAUUGUGUAAUGAUCAAAUAUUUAUAGGAUAAAGAUGGGCAUGCGGAACAUUAGCUAGAUGGCGGGGUAACGGCCCACCAUGGCGACGAUGUUUAGGGGAUCUGAGAGGAUGGCCCCCAACACUGGUACUGAGACACGGACCAGACUCCUACGGGAGGCAGCAGUAAGGAAUAUUGGUCAAUGGGCGGAAGCCUGAACCAGCCAUGCCGCGUGCAGGAAGACGGCCCUACGGGUUGUAAACUGCUUUUAUACGGGAAUAAACCCAGAUACGUGUAUCUGGCUGAAUGUACUGUAAGAAUAAGGAUCGGCUAACUCCGUG
RNAcentral lists this ribosomal RNA (482 nucleotides) under uncultured bacterium. RNAcentral describes it as "partial 16S ribosomal RNA". It matches the Rfam family "Bacterial small subunit ribosomal RNA", at positions 28 to 507 of the family's 1533-position model. The record is from RNAcentral.